CCUUCUUGGUUGACAUCUUGGAUUUUUGGAGAUUGUUUUCCACAAUGUUUUGUUAAAUGAAUUUGUCAAUAAAGGGGAAAAAAUAUCUUGGAUUUUUGGAGAUUGUAAGAGGGCUGAGCCAGAGAGCAGUGAUUGGUCAGACUGACUGAGAGCCCCGCCCACACUUACCGGCUGCUGCCGUCUUUACCAACUCUGCAUCUAACAAUUUUAGCAUACAAAAAUGGAGCUAAACUCUUCGGGUAAGUGUAAAAGUCAUCUUGGUAAGUUGUUGUACUUCUCUCCACAUCUUGACAAUAUUCUAUAUAAAGCAAUGACCUACGUUACUGUAGCUGAAGUUACUGGCAGUUAACAUCAGACUGGAACCACUGAUGGUAAAACCAUAGACUGCAUAGUCUAUGGGUCAAACAUGUUCUAAUAUCGUGUUUUAAAGUCAUAUUGUAAAUCUCAGAUGACGUAUCUUAAUUUUGUGUCAACAGUGAUGAAAAGUCAGGUUUGUCAGUGUCAGAAAUUAGUUAACUGUUAGUUGUAGCUAAGUGUCCUGUAGGUCACAGCUGAUCAGUUAUAACGGAUCAAUAACGUUCUUACAGUGUUUUAACUACUGCCUUCUUGCUGUUCGUUAAUGAUCAGCAGAUAUAAGUUAAUCUACGUUGGCGUUCCUCCACAGAACACUGUUACUGAUUAAUGUUGAUCUCUCAGUUCAAUGAAUGAAGCUCAGUUCAGUUCUGUGAGUUCAUGUCUCUGUUCUGUGGUUCAGUAUCAGACUGUGGACAGUUUUUAACAGCUUCUGUUCUUUCACUGAGAAAAACAUCUGUUGAAAUGAUUGUUUGUCUUUCAGAAACAGUAAAGUUACUGAGGUCUACACACCAUCACACUGAACCACAGAGCCUUGGUCUAAAUCAUUAGGAACACCUAGUCUGAUGUGGACUGAGUGCUACAGUGAGUAUGAACAUUCAAAACAUUUGGUUGUCUGAGGUCUUCUCUCCUUCUUCAUCCCUGUGAGGAAGAGCAGCACCGAUGUUCUCGUCAUCCUUUCCAGUAAGAACAAUAAUGUUGCAGAUUCAGCUCCUCUCUUCAUAAUACAGCUUGUCUUGUGACUGUUCAGUAUUUACACUUCACUGUAAGCUGGGAAACACAUUUAUUUCAUUCAUUUAAUACAUACUUUUACACAUCUUGCAGUUCGUAAUUGUUAAAUAAUGUAGUUUUAAAUGUGCAAUAAAGGUAGUAAUAAA
Amphiprion ocellaris (clown anemonefish) is the source of this 1229-nucleotide long non-coding RNA. RefSeq lists it as uncharacterized. NCBI's taxonomy places the organism in Eukaryota, Metazoa, Chordata, Actinopteri, Pomacentridae. The transcript has 2 exons. The record is from RefSeq and is a predicted model, not a curated record.